CCUUGACGAUGGAUGACUUGGGAUUUGCCGAAUUUUGCAAUAAAAUGGGAAAGGUCUUUUUCCGAAACGAAGAUUAUGAUGAAGCAUUGGAACUUUCUCGAAAGGGUCUUGCGUUUGCAGAAAUUGC
This 127-nucleotide ribosomal RNA is filed under the name Attheya septentrionalis. RNAcentral describes it as "partial 5.8S ribosomal RNA". Lineage: Eukaryota; Bacillariophyta; Biddulphiophyceae; Attheyales; Attheyaceae. The record is from RNAcentral.